AACGCUGGCGGCGCGCUUAACACAUGCAAGUCGAACGAGAAAGUGGAGCAAUCCAUGAGUACAGUGGCGUACGGGUGAGUAACGCGUGGGUAAUCUACCUUUUAGUGUGGAAUAACCCUGGGAAACCGGGGCUAAUACCGCAUAAGCUCGAGAGAGGAAAGUCGCAAGACGCUGAAAGAGGAGCCCGCGGCCGAUUAGCUAGUUGGCAGGGUAAGAGCCUACCAAGGCAGAGAUCGGUAGCCGGCCUGAGAGGGCACACGGCCACACUGGCACUGAAACACGGGCCAGACUCCUACGGGAGGCAGCAGUGGGGAAUCUUGCACAAUGGGGGCAACCCUGAUGCAGCGACGCCGCGUGAGCGAUGAAGCCCUUCGGGGUGUAAAGCUCUUUCGUCAGGGACG
RNAcentral lists this ribosomal RNA (401 nucleotides) under uncultured bacterium. RNAcentral's name for it is "bacterial SSU rRNA". It matches the Rfam family "Bacterial small subunit ribosomal RNA", at positions 32 to 447 of the family's 1533-position model. The record is from RNAcentral.